Lycium ferocissimum is the source of this 979-nucleotide long non-coding RNA. RefSeq lists it as uncharacterized. The transcript is spliced from 3 exons. The record is from RefSeq and is a predicted model, not a curated record. NCBI's taxonomy places the organism in Eukaryota, Viridiplantae, Streptophyta, Magnoliopsida, Solanales, Solanaceae.
UUUUGGUGGAAAACAAGGAGUCCCAGAUAGCAAAGAAAGGGCCUAUCCAAGAUAAACUUCUAUCAGCUAUCUGAUUGACUGAAGCACAUUUAAUUUAGGUUGCAAAAGAAUAUCACAUGUAGUUUUGGAAGAUGGCAAUUUCAUUUCUUAUAGCGGGCUGUUGCUCAAUCUAUGACAACGCGGCUCACCAGUUUUGGUAAUUGAAUCGGAGCUCAGUGAGGAUGAAUCCUACGGCUGCAGCAGAGGCUCGCUAUCGCUGGUGAAGAGCAAUAUUUGGAGGCUGUUUUGGAGGAGAAAGCUGGUUCAUAACGUUUUUGGUAGAAGCGAAUCUGCCGAUGUAUUUUUGCGGAGGAACAAGAAAAUAUCUGCUGGUGUAUUUGUAGAAGCAACAGCCUUCUGAUUCUUCUUAAGUUGCUCGAGUACCACCUGCCCAGUCUAAUCUGUCACCUUUUAUCUUCACCCUUGCAAUCUUUUUCUUGUUGUCCAAUACAACUACCUUUAUUAACAAGAAACCUCCAGAUAUCCCAGAAGUUCACCUUUCAGAGUAAUCAAAGCCUAUCCUUGAGAUUGCUUUUGCUCUAAGGAUAGUGUGUUGCGAGAAAUUGCAUCUGGCAGAGAUCUGAAGAAGUUCCUCGUGGUCACUGCUGAUCUAUGGGUCCUCUCAGUUGUAGGCAACCGCUGCAACUUCUUGACACCGUUCUACAUAUGUCAGUGCAAUUCUUUCUGUUUUCCUGUGUUCCAUUUGUAUUUGCUAUCUGUUCUUAACGGAUACGCUUUUUCAUGGUCUUCCACACAGUGAACCCAGAUUUGUGCUCAAGUCAUACAGUUCCUGCUUUUUAUAAGUGUAAAGAUAAAGUGGAUCCAUUAGCCAAGAAAGCAGUGCAAGAAAUAAAGAAACAAUAUGGUGACUGUCUGUAUAAUGCAGAGCAAUAAUACCCUCAUAAGCCAAGCUCUAUUUUUGCCAUUUCAUUCGAUGGAA